RNAcentral lists this long non-coding RNA (2321 nucleotides) under Homo sapiens (human). RNAcentral's name for it is "HSALNT0408985". Lineage: Eukaryota; Metazoa; Chordata; Mammalia; Primates; Hominidae. The record is from RNAcentral.
AAGCUUCCUAAGGUUCUUACCAGAAGCAGAUGCUGGUGCCAUGCUUCUUGUACAGCCUACAGAACUCUCUCUGUUCAUUCUAAAGUGAUGUGUCUUCAAGGAAGUUCAUGGGAAAGACUGAUAGGACACAAUUGAAAACACUGGUUAUAUUACAAAAGCUUUGACUGGUAAUUUUGUGUCAUAUUUUCAAAUGUGACCAGGCUGCUUUGAGGAAUUGCAGUUUACUUUAAAGCCAACAGACUUGGAAAAAGACUGGCCGGGUACCAUAUCUACACUGUUCCCUUACAGGGUUCCUGACCUUGUGGCGUUUCUACCUCCAAGGGAAAAAGAUAACAAAUCUUUGGCUGACCAACUGAUGUUUAUCAGCAAUGCUUCCUCACAUCAAAUCUUUAUCAAAAUGAAGAAAUGUGAAAUGUGAUAUACAAAACAGUAUCACUUGGUUCAGAGCUCUAAAAUGGAGUCAAGAAGCCACUCUAUUACUACCUACACAACAUGAAACCCUGCAGGAAAAAAAAAAAGGAACAGGAACUUGCCUUGAACCUUUGAACUGGGCUAAACUACAAUGACCACAUCUUAGAAAGCAGCUGAAUUUCACCAGCACUGCAACUCCUGCAUAGCAACAACCAAUGUACCAUGGACUUAUGUACUAAGCCAGCCACCUCCACCAAUGAUAAUUCUUUCAAAACAACUUGUGCAAUCACUCUCGGCAUCCUUUGAAAAAUUCCUACUCUCCUUCCUGUCUUUGGAAAACAAUUUGGCUCUUAGCCAAAUCCGUGUCUCCCAAAUUGCAACUUUUAAGGCCUCAAAUGCCUAGUCUUACUGCAUUGCACUCUGGUGUUUUGCCCCUUCUUACUUGACAUAUUAUACUUACAUCUCCAUUUCUAGUUGUGUUGAUUUUUUUAUUUUUUUAUUUUUAUUUUUAUUUUUGGAUAGUGUCUCACUCUGUCACCCAGGCUGGAGUACAGUGAUGCUGUCAGGGCUCACUGCAGUCUUGACCACCUGGGUUCAAGUGAUCCUCCCGCCUCAGCCUCCCAUGUAGCUGGGACUACAGGCAUGCACCACCAUGCCUGGCUAGUUUUCUUACUUUUGGUAGACACAUGGUUUCACCAUGUUGCCCAGGCUGGUCACAAACUUCUGGGUUCAAGUGAUCCACCUGCCUUGGCCUCCCGAAGUGCUUGUAUUACAGGUGUAAGCCACUGUGCCUGGCCUUGUAUCAACUUUUUGAUAGUAUCUCUUGACAGAAUGUAAAUGUGAGUAAUACAGACUCAGCAUGGUAGAGAAAUGAUAUAUGAAGGAGUGGUAUUACAGAGACAGGAUAGAUUAUUCGAUAAAUUCGGCUCUGGGACAAUUGGAUAUCAAACCAUAUGCCCUAUUCAAAAAUCAGUUGUUGGUGGAUCAAAAUUUUAUUUUAAAACUUUAUUUUUUAAAUAAAUUUUUGUUUUAUUUUAUCAUAUAUAUGUGUGUGUGUGUAUAUAUAUAAGCAUCUGCAUGGAAUUUUUCCCAUCUUUUUAAGUGUUUGAGGGUACACAGUAGAUAUAUAUAUAUUUAUGGGGUACAUAAAAUAUUUUCUACAGGCAUGCGAUGCAAAAUAGUCACAUCAGAGUGAAUGGGGUAGCCAUCCCCCCAGGCACUUAUUCUUUGUAUUAUAAACAAUCCAAUUGUACUCUUUUAGUUAUUUUGAAAUAUAGAACUUAAUUAUUUUUGACUACAGUCACCCUGUAGUGGUAGCAAAAUACUAAGUCUUAUUCAUUCUUUCAAACUAUUUUUGUACCUUUUAACCAUGCCCAACUCCCGCCUGCCCAGGACCCCACUACCCUUUGCAGCCUCUGGUAGCCAUCCUUCUACUCUCUAUGUCCAUAAGUUCACCUGUUUUGAUUUUUAGUUCCCACAAAUAAGUGAGAACAUGCAAAAUUUUUCUUUCUCUGCCUGCCUUAUUUCACUUAACAUCAUGACCUCAAGUUCCAUCCAUGUUGUUGCCAAUUACAGGAUCUCAUUCCUUUUUUAUGGCUGCACAGUACUCCAUUGCUUAUAUGUGCCAUAUUUUCUUUAUCCAUUUAUCUGUUGAUGGAGACUUAGGUUGCUUCCAAAGCUUGACUGUUAUGAAUAGUGCUGCAAUAAACAUGGAGUGCAGAUAUAACCUUGAUACACUGAUUUCCAUUCUUUUGUGUAUAUACCCAGGGGUGGGUGUAUAUACCCAGAGUGAAAUUCCGUCUCGGAAAAAAAAAAAAAAAAAAAAAAAAAGAGUUCUUUUGUGACCUAAAUAUGGUCUAUCCUUGAGAAAAUCUAUGUGCUGAGGAAAGAUGGUGUAUUUUACAGAUGUU